AAAUAGAACUUUGCAGAGAGAGUUAACAGGGCGUGAAACCGUUAAUUGGCAAACGAAUCGGAGCCACGAAGUCGUUUCGCAGUUGAGUCGGGCGUCGCUUCAGCGUGCCUCGAAAGGGGUGCGUGUAUUGCGGCGCUGGCCAGCUUUGUAAGCGUACACUGCAACUAGUUAGACGACUGGCCAUGGGCACAGCGGUGAGUUAGUAGUGGUGCGCUGGGGCUUGCUCCAGUGUGUUGCUUGGCUCGCGUAAGUGAACUAUGGCCAGAUACUGACUAGCGAAAUGAAAAUCGACGAAAGUCGUAAGAGACAAAGCCCGCUGCGGCGAUGAGUGUCUACGCCACCGACUGCCGGCUUUAAGCUCGGCGCUCUUCAAUUUGGACUUGCUUGCUACCAGUGGGGCAACUCCUGGUGCUUGUAUAGCUUCCAUCUAAUGGGGCGUUGACUUGAGUCGGUACGCUCGAGGGCGCAACGAUAGGGCGCUCAUUCCAGUGGUGUGGCAAUUGUAUUGGCAGUGAGUAGGUCGGCUUUCCGAACGACCCGUCUUGAAACACGGAAGGAGUCUAAUUGGGCAUCGAGUCGAUCGGUCUUGACUAGGCCAGAUGGUGGGAUUCCUCACGAGAAGGCGCAGAGAAAUCGUGUGAUCGUUGGCCAAAACAGGCUGGCCGCGCAACAUGUGCGUGCUCGACGCUGUGCGCAAGACAGCAGGGCGCAGCAAAGAGAUGCCCGAUUGGGACCCGAAAGAUGGUGAGCUUGGGCAAAUUGAAGCCAGAGGAAACUCUGGUGGAGGAUUUAGUUCUGACGUGCAAAUCGAUCGUCAGCUGAGUAUAGGGGCGAAAGACUAAUCGAACCAUC
This 852-nucleotide ribosomal RNA is filed under the name Tegolophus zizyphagus. RNAcentral describes it as "partial large subunit ribosomal RNA". It matches the Rfam family "Eukaryotic large subunit ribosomal RNA", at positions 366 to 944 of the family's 3401-position model. Lineage: Eukaryota; Metazoa; Arthropoda; Arachnida; Trombidiformes; Eriophyidae. The record is from RNAcentral.